CAGUGGCAGUGCUGCUUCAGCUGGUGCCCUUGAACCCUUUCCCAAGCCGGCUAAUCCCAGGAUUCCGUGAUUUCCCUGCAGGUGGACGCCAGGAACAUCGACGGCAGCACCCCCCUGUGCGACGCCUGUGCCUCGGGGAGCAUCGAGUGUGUCAAGGUGCUGCUGUCCCACGGUGCCAAGGUGAACCCCCCCCUCUACACGGCCUCCCCUCUCCAUGAAGCCUGCAUGAAUGGCAGCCCCGAGUGUGUCCAGCUCCUCAUCGACGUCGGCGCCAACCUGGAGGCUCACGACUGUCACUUUGGGACUCCCCUGCACGUGGCCUGUGCCAGGGAACACCUGGACUGUGCCAAGCUGCUGCUCAAGGCAGGUAUGGCACCCACAGGGGUCCCUGUGGGUGGGCAGGGCGCGGUGGUGUCCGUGGGAAGCGACUCCUCGGCGGAAUUCCUGCCGGGAUAGAGAUGGUCAGAGGUGAAAGUUUUUGGCUUCACGGAGCAAAACUUGGUGUUCAAACACUGUUUUGGCCUAUUCCAUAAAUACCCCUCUCCCAGUGGGAUGCUCCAUCCCUGGAAGUGUCCAAGGCCAGGUUGUGGACGGGGUUUGGAGCAACCUGGGAUAGUGGAAGGUCUCGGGGUUGGAACUGGGUGACCUUUAAGGUCCCUUCCUACCCAAACCAUUCCGUGAUUCCCUGAUUCCCAACCUCUAAAUGGAACAAUUCAGGGCUCAUUCAGAACACACAGCUGGGUGUUAAGCCCAGAUGACUUUUGCUGGAUGUUCAAGUCCCAAGAUUUGCCUCCAGGGAGGAAUUUGGGUCGAACUUCCUGUCUUUCCCUGUGCUUCCAGGAGGAGGUUUGGCCCAGGGCUGGGGAUUUAUUUAAUUGAAUAACAAUUAUCUAAAAAUUACACACCUAAGCCAGUUUAGAUCCACCCACUCCAGUUCCCCAUUAAUUGAUUCCCAAGAAAUUCCAGUUUCUCAUUAAUUCUGAAGAAGUCCAGUGUGGCCACACAUUCCCAAAAGGGAAUUGUUUGAGUUCAGUGUGGUCUCUCUCACCUCUGCUGGUCAAAUUCCAGCUGUUUUGGGGAUAGGGAAUGACUUCUUGCCAUAAACUUACAAAAACCAAACUUCCUUGGCAAAAAUAUCCAUAACUAAACCUUGGCUGGUGGAGCUGGAACACCUCCUGGAUCUGGGGGUGUUCCUGUCGAAAUAAUCAACAGAGUUCUCGCUGUCUUGAGUGGGAAUGUUCCGUGGAGAUGACUGGGAAUGGCUCUUUGGAUCCAGGAAGCAGUUAUGACCUCAUUUCCCCAAAUACCAGGGACUGAGAUCCCCCUCUCUCCAAGGAAAACAGAAAUCCAGAGAGGAAAACCCACGAUUUUUCCAGCACCGAGAACUCGCUCAGCAAUUUUCUUGAAAACUGGUGUUUUUUCUUGCUGAGCUGCUCCUCAGUCCCAGCUCUCUAUUCCAACUGCCAGCCCAU
Molecule: long non-coding RNA, 1472 nt
Filed under: Manacus vitellinus (golden-collared manakin)
Lineage: Eukaryota; Metazoa; Chordata; Aves; Passeriformes; Pipridae
Description: lncRNA (ENSMVIG00005003439.1)
Source: RNAcentral